This 858-nucleotide ribosomal RNA is filed under the name Globobulimina sp. Its description in RNAcentral is "SSU rRNA". It matches the Rfam family "Eukaryotic small subunit ribosomal RNA", at positions 1306 to 1801 of the family's 1831-position model. The record is from RNAcentral. Lineage: Eukaryota; Foraminifera; Rotaliida; Buliminidae.
UUAAGCUCAGCUAGACCAUACGUGCGGCUAUAUGGCUCACUCGCUAGGGGCACUAUAUGUGAACUUCUGAUCCUGAAAGCAACGAACGUGACCGCAACCUCUUGUUGUGCUAGCUCUAUAGCACAGCACAAACUAGAGGGACCGCUGUUACUUUUCUUAAACCAGAGGAAGGUUGCGGCAAUAACAGGUCUGUGAUGCCCUUCGAUGUUCCGGGCUGCACACGUGCUACAAUGAUCAUUGCAGUGAGCAUCUCUGUUUUUCACUUAUAGCUUGGUGAUAAUUCAUUAUCUCUGAACUAGGUCUACCCCUUACACGGCUCUACGCUAUAGUGGCGCUCUGUUCUAACUCUGGACUACACCCUCUUGGCUUCGGUCAUACGUAUGAGGGCUGUACCUGGUCUAGUUCAGAUAUGGAGUACCGCAUCAGCCGUCUGAGCCUUCGUGGGGUGACCUUAGCCUACCUCGAGACGUAUGCUUAGGGUAAUCAAUUACAAGUCAUGAUUUUCCAAUAUCACACACUGAUAUACGGCGUCCUAGUGGACGGCACUGCACUCUUGUGCGGUGCUAGCUCUAUCUGAGAUGUUCUUUAACCGUAUGUGCGAUUGUCAAUUCAUGGUGGGAACAGACCAUUGUUAACUGUUGGUCUCGGUCGUAACUAGGAAUGCCUUGUACGGGUCUUAGUUCAACAGACUACCCGGAAUACGUCCCUGCCCUUUGUUCACACCGCCCGUCGCUCUUGCCGAUGGACUUCACUGUGAGUUUGCCGGACUGGCGCACCAACUAUAUUCUAUAUACGCGGUGCCCUAUAGAAAGAUAAACGAACAGUGUCGUCUAAAGGAAAGAGAAGUCGAACAAGGCA